GGAGGAAGAACUAACAAGGAUUCCCUUAGUAACGGCGAGUGAAGCGGGAUGAGCCCAGCACCGAAUCCUUCGGCCGCGUGGUCGACAGGAACUGUGGUGUUUGGGAGCGUCUCUGGGGCGCUGUCGCACUGUCCAAGUCCUCUUGAUCGGGGCCUUUCCCAUAGCGGGUGUUAGGCCUGUACGGCAGUGUGCGGCGUCGCUCUGGCGCUCUCUGGAGUCGGGUUGUUUGAGAAUGCAGCCCAAAGUGGGUGGUAAACUCCAUCUAAGGCUAAAUACGGGUCGAGUCCGAUAGCGAACAAGUACGGUGACGGAAAGUUGAAAAGCACUUUGAAGAGAGAGUUGGAAAGUACGUGAAACCGUUUACAGGUAAACGGACGGGACCGCAAGGUCGACGGUGGGAAUUCAGGCCGCAUUGGCCGUGACCGGGCGGGCGUUUGGCGACCCCUUGCUGGGCGUCGGCGUACGUCUCGUGUUGCGGCUGGCGGACGCACUUUCUCGCUCGUCGAGCGCUACGACCGCGUGCUGGGCAGUCAGAAGGGUGGCGUCGUAGGUGGCUUGUCGCUUCGGCGACAAGAGCUUAUAGGGCGCUGCUAGCUGGCCUGCUCGGGUGCGCGAGGAUCUCUGUUGUCGCAUUGGUGUGGCGGUGUGUCGCCGGCUGGCGUUCGACUGCCGAGGACUGCUUGCAGUGCUUGGCGACCGCGUCGGUCGGGUCAGGCGUGCCUGCUCGCUGAUGCCGCUGGGUCAGUGGCGUAUUGUCGGCACCCUGUCCGACCCGUCUUGAAACACGGACCAAGGAGUCUAACAUGUGCGCGAGUCAAAGGCUCUUACGAAACCCCAGGGCGAAAUGAAAGUGAACGUAGGUGAGAUCCGUGCCCCUUGCGGGUGCGGCGCAUCACCGGCCCGUUCUUGUGCCCUUUUUUGUGGCUGCGUGCGGCGCAUGAGCGA
RNAcentral lists this ribosomal RNA (945 nucleotides) under Neodexiospira brasiliensis. RNAcentral's name for it is "eukaryotic LSU rRNA". It matches the Rfam family "Eukaryotic large subunit ribosomal RNA", at positions 52 to 803 of the family's 3401-position model. Lineage: Eukaryota; Metazoa; Annelida; Polychaeta; Sabellida; Serpulidae. The record is from RNAcentral.